Molecule: ribosomal RNA, 2054 nt
Filed under: Gemmatimonadaceae bacterium
Lineage: Bacteria; Pseudomonadati; Gemmatimonadota; Gemmatimonadia; Gemmatimonadales; Gemmatimonadaceae
Description: partial 23S ribosomal RNA
Rfam family: Bacterial large subunit ribosomal RNA
Source: RNAcentral
GAUCAAGCGAAAGAAUGUAUGUCGGGGAUGCCUGGGUACACGGAGGCGAGGAAGGCCGUGGUAAGCUGCGAUAAGCCAGGGGGAGCUGCACACAAGCUGUGAUCCCUGGAUGGCCGAAUGGGGAAACCCGGCCAUCAGAAAUGAUGGUCACUCCUUACGAGGAGAGCGAACCGAGGGAACUGAAACAUCUAAGUACCUCGAGGAAAGAGAAAUCAACCGAGAUGCCCCAAGUAGCGGCGAGCGAACGGGGCCCUAGCCCAAACCGUUACUCCUUGUGAGUAGCGGGGUUGUAGGAGCCACAUACGGUACGUCCAAGUGUCAGCGGAAGUCUCCUGGAAAGGAGCGCCAUAGACGGUGAUAGCCCGGUACGCGAAGGCCAAGGGACGUGCUAGUGGAUUUCCUGAGUAACGCCCGAGCUCCGAGGAGUCGGGCGUGAAGCUGGGGGGACCACCCUCCAAGGCUAAAGCCUCCCGUGUGACCGAUAGUGAACGAGGACCGUGAGGGACAGGUGAAAAGCACCCCAGUGCGGGGAGUGAAAGAGUGCCUGAAACGACAUACAUACAAGCGGUAGGAGGAUGGGCAUGACCUUCGGGUUGUGUCGCGUCUGACUGCGUGCCUUUUGCAUUAUGAUCCGGCGAGUUACUCCUGUGGAGCGUUUAGGCUAAGCCGCUGUGCGGCGGAGCCAUAGCGAAAGCGAGUCCUGCAAAGAGGGCGUUUAGUUCCAUGGGGUAGACCCGAAGCCAGGGCGAUCUACCCAUGUGCAGGGUGAAGCGCGGGUAACACCGCGUGGAGGCCCGAACCGGUACGGGUUGAAAACCGUUCGGAUGACGUGUGGGUAGGGGUGAAAGGCCAAUCAAGCCUGGAGAUAGCUGGUUCUCCCCGAAAUCUAUUGAGGUAGAGCCUCAGGGAAGGCCGCAAGGCCUGUUGUACGCAGGGGGUAGAGCGACUGGAUGGGCGCGGGGGAGCGAAGCUCCUACCAACCCCAACCAAACUCCGAAUACCUGUGCUAUGGACCCUGGGAGGCAGUCGCUGAGCGAUAAUGUCCAGCGGCAAAAGGGAAAGAACCCAGAGCCACAGCUAAGGCCCCAAAGUGACCACUAAGUAUAGCGAAGGAUGUGAACGUGCCGUGACAACUGGGAGGUUGGCUUAGAAGCAGCCAUUCCUUGAAAGAGUGCGUAAUAGCUCACCAGUCCAGCGUGUUUGCGCCGAGAAUGGUCGGGAUUAAGUGGUCCGCCGAAGCUUGGCCUUCAUACUAUGUAUGAGGGGUAGGGGAGCGUUCUCAUCUGCAAUGAAGCGGUCGUGGAAACGUGCCGUGGAGCGAUGAGAAGUGAGGAUGCCGGAAUGAGUACGCGCAAAUCAAAGUGAAAACCUUUGACACCGUAAACCCAAGGAUUCCUGCGCCAUGGCAAUCAGCGCAGGGUGAGGCGGAACCUAAGGCGAGGCCCCAGAGGCGUAGUCGAUGGAUAGCUGGCGAACAUUCCAGCCCCGCCGUUUAGGCGUUAUUACCACAGAAGGGACCGUGUAACGAAGGGAAAGCGGCUUUGUGGAUGGCCGUCCAACCGCGUAGGGGAAACCCGAGACGGGAGUGCGAGAAUGCGGGGCAACCCAAGUUCAAGUUUUCUGGAGUCGACACGCAAGAAAAGCUUCUGCUGGGAGUCUGAACGUGCGUCCGUACCGUAAACCGACACAGGUGGGUAAGGCGAGUAGCCUAAGGUGAACGAGUGAAACGAGGUCAAGGAACUCGGCAUAAUGAUCCCGUAACUUCGGAAUAAGGGAUGCCUUUCAUGGUUGCAUUAUUUACUGAUGCUGCUGUGGGAGGCCGCAGAUAAUCGGCUCAAGCGACUGUUUAGCAAAAACACAGGUGAGUGCCAAGCCGCACAAGGCGCCGUAUACUCACUGACGCCUGCCCGGUGCCGGAAGGUUAAGGGGAGAGGUCAACCUGGCUUACGCCGGGUGAAGCCUUGAUCCGAAGCCCCGGUAAACGGCGGCCGUAACUAUAACGGUCCUAAGGUAGCGAAAUUCCUUGUCGGGUAAGUUCCGACCUGCACGAAUGG